GGGAGUUGCAUUGGUUCUCAGAAUUCAGUUUAUUUAAGGUGUACACCAAUGAUGGAAAACCAGAAUCUGCUAUUGCUUAUUCUAAGCUUGACUACUGGAUGGAAACAGAAGAUGGAAGUUAAGCGAUGAAAGAACCAACUGAGCAAAGCAAUAUGUAAUUUAUGCAAAUUUGGAAGAUUUUUACAACAAAUUGACCUAUCACAUUUGACUGUGAUUUAGUCUUGAAGAAGUCAAGACAGGAGAACACAACACAACAACAAAUGAUGGGUGUAUGCUGCAGGGAUUGGAUGCUGAAAUCAUCUACCUUAGGGGGUAUUCUAACUUGGGUCGUUAAAAAGGUGAUGUUCAUGCAACUU
RNAcentral lists this long non-coding RNA (356 nucleotides) under Populus trichocarpa (black cottonwood). RNAcentral describes it as "long non-coding RNA (PTRI_LNC001366)". The record is from RNAcentral. Lineage: Eukaryota; Viridiplantae; Streptophyta; Magnoliopsida; Malpighiales; Salicaceae.